Molecule: ribosomal RNA, 433 nt
Filed under: uncultured bacterium
Lineage: Bacteria
Description: partial 16S ribosomal RNA
Rfam family: Bacterial small subunit ribosomal RNA
Source: RNAcentral
AACGAACGCUGGCGGCAUGCCUAACACAUGCAAGUCGAACGAGCCCUUCGGGUCUAGUGGCGCACGGGUGCGUAACGCGUGGGAACCUGCCCUUAGGUUCGGAAUAACUCCCCGACAGGGGUGCUAAUACCGGAUAAUGUCUUCGGACCAAAGAUUUAUCGCCUUUGGAUGGGCCCGCGUUGGAUUAGCUAGUUGGUAGGGUAAAAGCAUACCAAGGGGCCGAUCCACAGCUGGUCUGGGAGGAUGAUCAGCCACACUUGGACGGAGACACGGCCGAGACUCCUACGGGAGGCAGCAGAGGGGAAUAUUGGAAAAUGGGCGAAAGCCUGAUCCAGCAAUGCCGCGUGAGUGAUGAAGGCAUGAGGGUUGUAAAGCGCUUUUAACCGUGAUGAUAUUGACAGUACCGGGAGAAAAAGCCCCGGCUAACUACGUG